CCAACUUUAGCUCAGUUGGUAGAGCGGAGGAUUGUAGUGGGAGAGAAAAUCCCAGUUGUCAUCCUUAGGUCGUUGGUUCAAAUCCGGCAAGUCGGA
Non-coding RNA from Picea glauca (white spruce), 96 nucleotides. NCBI's taxonomy places the organism in Eukaryota, Viridiplantae, Streptophyta, Pinopsida, Pinales, Pinaceae. The record is from Rfam.